ACAGACUUAGUCCUAACCUUACAGUUAAUUUUAGCCAAACAUAUACAUGCAAGUAUCCGCAUUCCAGUGUAAAUGCCCAUGAAUUCUCCCCUAGACUAAAGGAGCAGGUAUCAGGCACACAAUCGUAGCCCAAGACACCUUGCUUAGCCACACCCCCACGGGUAUUCAGCAGUAAUUAACAUUAAGCAAUAAGCGCAAGCUUGACUUAGUUAUGGCUACCCAGGGCUGGUAAACCUUGUGCCAGCCACCGCGGUCAUACAAGAAGCCCAAAUUAACUACCACACGGCGUAAAGAGUGGCAUCAUGCUAUCACCCAACUAAGAUCGAAGUGCAACCAAGCCGUCAUAAGCCCACAGUGCAUCCAAGCCCGCCCUCAAAAUGAUCUUAGCAUUAACGACUAAUUAUACCCACGAAAGCUAGGACACAAACUGGGAUUAGAUACCCCACUAUGCCUAGCCCUAAAUCCUGAUACUUCCUGUACCAAAGUAUCCGCCUGAGAACUACGAGCACAAACGCUUAAAACUCUAAGGACUUGGCGGUACCCCAAAUCCACCUAGAGGAGCCUGUUCUAUAAUCGAUAAUCCACGCUACACCCAACCACCUCUCGCCCAAAGCAGCCUACAUACCGCCGUCGCCAGCCCACCUCUCUUGAAAGCCCAAGCAGUGGGCAUAAUAGCCCUCCGCUAAUAAGACAGGUCAAGGUAUAGCUUAUGAGAUGGAAGAAAUGGGCUACAUUUUCUAACAUAGAAAACUAACGAAAAAGGGAAGUGAAAUCUCCCUUAAAAGGCGGAUUUAGCAGUAAAGAAGAACAACAAUGUCCUCUUUAAGCCUGGCCCUGGGGUACGUACAUACCGCCCGUCACCCUCUUCACAAGCUGCACUACCCAUAGCUAAUAACCCACCCGAGCUAAAGAUGAGGUAAGUCGUAACAAGGUAAGUGUACCGGAAGGUGCACUUAGCAC
This 960-nucleotide non-coding RNA is filed under the name Sarothrura rufa (red-chested flufftail). RNAcentral describes it as "12S ribosomal RNA". It matches the Rfam family "Bacterial small subunit ribosomal RNA". The record is from RNAcentral. Lineage: Eukaryota; Metazoa; Chordata; Aves; Gruiformes; Rallidae.